UCGACAAAACAGAAAGUCUCAUAGUAUAGUAGGUCAUCCCGGAAAAGUAUAGUUAAGUCAACAUCAGUUAAGUCAAAGGACCAGACAUCAACUCCUGUGAUCUUAGUAUCUCUAAGAACAACUGGUCUCUACAUACCUGACAAACCAUGCAAACAAUAAAUUUAUUACAAUGUAUAAUUAUUUAUAUCCUCAACAAAAUUAGGUCAAUCAAAUUCCUGGGAAAUAUGAAAACAAAAACUUGUUUGCAUUGUAUUAAUUAUGCUUAUAUAUAAUUAUGCAAAGCAUAGACGUUGCUGUCAUCCGUUCAAUGAACUGAAAGUAUGACCGAACCUAAGAAUAACAUUAGGUGAAAUAGUAAGUUAGAGAAGACAUCCACAGCUCUAAACUUAGAUAACCAUCAGUAUGGAACAUUCAGGAUUCCAAAAAGUAGUAUAUUGUAGUAACUAACCAUAACAUAUUAUGGAACAUAUAAAAGAAUUUAGUCUUAAUGAUAAUGGGCAAUUUUGGAGUUAUAAAUCAGCCAAUCAGGUUAUGCAUCAGUUCAUUCUAGAUCGUUCCAGAGUCUUACAGGUGAAAUUACUUCACACAUGACAACUAUUGUUCAAAUUAUGAAAAUCUAUUUCAUAGUGCAGUCCCCAAGGGGAUGAGAUGUGCGUUUUUGUCUUAACAAUUGCAGCCCUCCUUUCACCAUCCUCUAAACGGCUGGACUACAGGCUUCACUAGAUAUUUAGUACCUCAAGAAUUCACGUUAGCAGAUGAAAUUAACAUGGCUAGUAAUUUCGUAUAUUAACUGGCCCACACUAAUGAAGAAAGUCCAUUGCUUUUAUUUUUUCUGUUUCUGACUCUCCAAAUAGUUUAAAAAAUAUAUUAAUGCUAUUAUGAUUUUCAAAGUUACCAUGAAUCACUCGGUUCUUCUCAGUGUUCGAUUUGUGACCAAUGUCGUGGUUUUCCAAGUAAUUCUUUUCAACAUUUUUGAAUCAUCGACAUCAAUUCUUUACAUUUGGUAUUAUAGAUAAAAAUUCACCCAAUAGUUUAGAGUAAUCGCAUUCACCAUCACCAAAAUUAAGUUGAUAUGAUUGUUGAUCCUUUCAUUUUUUUGCUAGAAUAGAGUUUAUAAUCAAAACUUGGAGCAUCUUAUCACUUGCAGGAUCUGAUUGACAAGGCCAGGACAACUCUAGUUGGGAACAGAAUAUCAUUGCAGCGGUUGCAAGCAUCCACUGGUGUUCCUAUCACUAGUGAUUCUGAUGAUCCUGCAUACAACAACUUCAACCAGGUAGUUUUAUUGAUUCGCAUCAUAUCAGGCUAAAUAUGAAUAUUUCUUCUGUGGCUUGAGCUUCAGUUACUUUAAUUUUCUCUUGGAAGUGUACAACUAUGCAUAAUCAGGUGGGAACCAAAUAUAAGACUCUAAAAGUAGAUUUCCUUCCAUCCAUCAUUCAAUGACUCUGUAGAGUGUCUCAUUCAUAUUUUUUCUUUCCCUAAAAUUUCAUCACAUUUAGAGUGUGUUUGGACAAUAUAAUUUAACUGGGGAUUGAAAAUUAAGAAGUGUUUAUUAAUACUAAUUUUAAAAUCCCUCAUAUUAACCAUGUAAAGGAUUCUUUCGAGAAACUCCAUCUCAAACAUGACUUAUAAGUACUGCUCAAAAAGAAAAAAGAACGAAAAAGAUAUUGUUCAAACCUAAAGUCUACCUGCUCUUCUAUGGGCCUCCUCUCUCUCUAUCUCUGCCUCAACCCUCUGUAUGUGUGUCGGUCUGUCUAUGUCUUGGUCUCUAUCUAUAUAUACACACACAAUCACACAUACAUAUUGAUGUUUGUCUACGUAUAUCUGACCUUCCUUAGAUCCUGCUAUUUGCGAGAGCACUGUGAACAGGGUAUGACCUUGUAUAUAUGGGCAUAAUGCAAGUGCAAGGCCGUGCAACCUUUUGUUUUUUUUACUGGCAAGAUAGGUGAAACAAUGUAAUAUUUGGUCUUCACUUGAUAAUUCAACUGAAGGAUGUGAAGGGCAUGCAUAAAUAUGAGAGCAUGUAAAUGUUCAUAUGAUUUAGUGAUGUGCGUCAACCAUUAUAAUAAUGAAAAAUAAACAAAUAGGAGAGGUCGAAAAACAUCCUUAUUUUACAAAUUUAAUAAUGGUGCUCCAUGACAUCAAAUCAAAUAAAAAUUGACAUUUGCUAAUAUUUUUGCAUGGUCUUUAUAUCCGUACGGUUGGAUUAUUGAGUGAAUGGUCAAAAUUAGGUAAUUUUACCUACCUUGCACAAAGAAAAAGAAAGUUGCACAACGCACCUCCAUUAUUCCAUACACGUACAUAUGUAUUAUAUACAAUUCCCUCAAUUCCAUAAAAAGAGUCCCAUUUGCCAAUUUUGUCUCAAAAUAAAUUCUUUUGGUUUUAGUACAUAAUGACACAAUGACCUCAAGUUUAUCAUCACAAUUCAAUAUUAUGACAUCACUAUUAAACUAAACGCUCACUUAUUUUAGGGAUAAACUUGGAACAAAAAAUAUAUCCUUACUGUUUGUAAUUUUUUUAAAUUGGACUCUUUUUGGGAGUAUUAUGUAUUAUUAAUGUAAGAGUUAACUGCAGCUAGAUCUCGGAUUUGUUAUUUACUUAUCCAGUCAUUCUUUGUCGGGGUGUCCUAAUUCAGAUACAGGCCAGGGAUAGUGACCGGUGAAUAGAAGUUAUAAUUAUGUAAACAUUGAUUUCAAACCUUGGGAAUAUGUUGCGAAGGGGACUUUGGCUGAGAUAUGUUGGAAAAUAAUAUUGAAUAUAGUAGUCGUUGGGUAACCCAAAGGGGUUGCUCAACUGUUUGUGGGCGUCAUGAUAAGUAUCUUUAGUAGGGACAGUUUAUGCGUUCAAAACUUCAUAGAGACACUUUAGGUCAGAGGAUUACCCAGUGCACACCCAAAGGCAAAGGCCAAAGGGUGGUGAAUAGUUACUGUGGGGUGCUUCACCAAAAGAUACAAAAAAGAAAAAUCACUAGGCGGGCGUUAUUGCAAAGAGUACCUUGUACCAAUUUUUCGUCAACAACUGAGAUAUAUGUGUUCUAUAUGUUGACAGUAGACUAAUAUAUUUUUUAAGAGUCAUCAUGCAGUCAAAAAAAUUUCUAAACAAGAUAUUUUGAAAGCAUGACAUUUAAAAGUGAAGGGAGCAAAUGAAAGAAUCUAAAAAAUGCUAUGUGAUUUAAAAAUAAGGAACAUAUUCUUAUAAAGCCCUUGGACAAUGACUAGAUCAAAUUUAAUAGAAGGUUAGGAUCCACUAUCUAGAAUCAUCCUUAAAAUUAUCUAGGAUAUUUACAUUUAUAGUAAUUACAUGGGUAAAUAUAGAAUACUCUUUUUGAAACACUAAUAUGUGAAGGAAGAUUCUACGGAAUGCCACCUAGUGUAGCUAACUAAGCGCCUUAUGCAUGUCAAGUAAACGAUGACAUGGUGUAAUCUCAUUGAAUAUGCGCUUGUUGUGACGCUACGCUUAAAAAUAACUCAAUCAAUUUUAACUAUAUAUCAAUUGGUUUUAACUAUCUUUUUUGAAAGUUAUUCUCAGCGCAACACAUUCCAAAUAAAUUAUUUGUACCAGCUAAGUGAUUUGAUGAAACCUACCCCUAUCAUACUCUGUACCACGAAAAGUGACAUUCGUUUCCGAUUUUGUUUCACGUACCACAUCAAAUUACGAUCUAGGUAACAUUAGGAGAGAAGCUCCAAGGUUUCAGAAACUGUCAACAGUGCCCUCAUAAUUUUAUGUUGCUUAUUUUGGUUACAGUCUGUGAAGGUUGUCUAUUUUCCAAAUGGUGUCUAAAGAAUUUACACCAUUUGCCAGCAAGCAACCGAAAUGGAAAGAUGGCGAGGUUUCCAUGAGUUGCUACCAGGGCAGCAGUGUUAUGCGCUGGUGGUUUCUGGUGCUUACUUACGUUAAGGAACCAAGCUUCGCUACAUAUAUUGUUCUCUCGACUCUUAUUUUGCUGAAAUGAUAUUUGGUUGGAAGAAUAUCUACCUGACCAUGUGAUCAUUUUACUCAUGCUUUGCAGAUAAUUGAUGAAUGGACUGUACAAGUGAGUUCCAAAACAGGUAAAGAAUCUGGACUUUUCUGGGUUUGUAACCUAUAAAUCUUGGAGCAUAAACUUGAUGCAACAAUAUUGCUUAAAGGAAUGUUUAGUAGCAAAUCACAUAGUUGGUGGGUUUGGAGAUUCUAAUGCUUGACCCACGUCCUAAUAAGAUAGAAAAAGUAGCUUAAUGUUUUCGGGUGUGUUGUGUCUUGUGGCAAUUGAUGCCUCAAUAUUUUUCCCUUUUUCAAAAGCAUCUUUCUUGUUCCCAUUUGCAAAUUUAUUUUGUUCCACAAAAGGAGCCCUAUUUUUAUUGAGUAGUAUAAAACGACACAAUAUCCUCAAAUUUGCUAUCCUAAUUUUAUUAUCAUACUAAACUUACAACUUAUUAUUUUUAGGUAUAAACAUGUAAUUACAAAUACAUUCAUAAUAUUCGCAAUAUUGCAAAUGGGACUCUUUUUGUGCAGCGAAAGUACUAGUGUACUACUGUUUAUACUUAUCCUAAAACUAUCUAAUUUCAAGUAUAACAAGAGAAUGUUUCUGGUCAUCAUCCCUUGUGAUACAUUUACAUCCAAUAUUCAUAGCCACAAUCCUGUCUAAAUCUGCUACACUCUAAAAACAUUCAAAAGGUUAGUAAUUUAGGUAUAUAGUUCUUGAUUCAAGAAUCCAUCCGGAUAAAUGAUCCUUCACAUUACUCUAGAUGGAAUUAUUUUAUGGGAAACGAGCGAAGUAUCAGCAAGGAAUUAAUUUAAAUACAUGCUACAUUUGAUCAAAUAAUAUAUAUAUAUAUAUAUAUAUAUAUAGAGAGAGAGAGAGAGAGAGAGAGGAUCAGGUAAGGACUCCCUUACGAUACUAAAAUGCGGAUUAUUUUUUUUUUGUGUACAUACAUUUUUUGGUAUAGGUAUCCAAAUCACGUCCAAAGCAUUGUAUUAUGAAAAAAUUUCAGUUCCAUAAAAUAUUAAUUUUUUUUUUUAGUUUUAAAAAAAAAAGCAAAAAAAAAAAGUCCACAUUUUAGUAUCGUAAGGGAGUCCUUAUCUGAUCCGGACCCAUAUAUACAUACUACAUGUUUUGCAUUUCUUUAAAAUGUAACAAGUUUUGGGAAAGAUCUAAGUACUAUAAGGAAUUGUGGUAAGGAAAAACAUUGUGCAUUUCUAAUAUGUACGUUGAUUAUGCAGGUGACGAGGAACCUGAUUCAGGAUUGGAUGGUAUCAACCAAAAGCUCUUUUUAGCAAUUGUUCAAGGCAACUGAACAAGAACAAGUGGUAUAAAUUUAGAGAAACUGGUGGGUCAAUCAACAAGGGAUUCUGUCCAAAAAGAUUCCAAAAAACAAACAAACAGUAGUACAUGUUAUUGUUUCGUGAUGUUCUUCUAUGGCUUCUCGCCCUCUCUUUUUCCUGUUUCCACGUGCAAGUGGACGAAGGGUCCAAAGGCUGUGAGCGUGCCGGAUUUUAAAAGAAUUUUGAAGUUCUAGAGGACCUUAAUGUCUGUCCAGUGUUGGCCAUUACAAUUUCAGAUUCCUGGUUGAAUGAUGAUAUGUUUUUAGUAUCUGGUAUGGAUGAAUCAAGUUGGAGG
RNAcentral lists this long non-coding RNA (5593 nucleotides) under Panax ginseng (ginseng). RNAcentral's name for it is "long non-coding RNA (PGIN_LNC008957)". Lineage: Eukaryota; Viridiplantae; Streptophyta; Magnoliopsida; Apiales; Araliaceae. The record is from RNAcentral.